RNAcentral lists this ribosomal RNA (283 nucleotides) under uncultured bacterium. RNAcentral's name for it is "partial small subunit ribosomal RNA". It matches the Rfam family "Bacterial small subunit ribosomal RNA", at positions 26 to 285 of the family's 1533-position model. The record is from RNAcentral.
AGGACGAACGCUGGCGGCGUGCCUAACACAUGCAAGUCGAACGAGGUCCAUUCGGUAGUAAUACCGAUGAAGAUCAAGUGGCGAACGGGUGAGUAGCACGUGAGCAACCUACCCCGAAGACCGGGACAACACCGGGAAACCGGUGCUAAUACCGAAUAUCCCCACCAGAUCGCAUGGUUUGGUGAGGAAAUGCCUGCUUCUAUUAGAUGCAGACGCUUUGGGAGGGGCUCGCGGCCUAUCAGCUUGUUGGUGAGGUAACGGCUCACCAAGGCGACGACGGGUA